GUAGGGAAUAUUGGACAAUGGGGGGAACCCUGAUCCAGCCAUGCCGCGUGGAGGAAGACUGCCCUCUGGGUUGUAAACUCCUUUUAUAUGGGAAGAACCGUCCUCAUUAAUGAGUGACCUGACGGUACCAUAGGAAUAAGCACCGGCUAACUCCGUGCCAGCAGCCGCGGUAAUACGGAGGGUGCAAGCGUUAUCCGGAUUCACUGGGUUUAAAGGGUGCGUAGGCGGAUAAAUAAGUCAGUGGUGAAAUCAACGGGCUCAACCUGUUAACUGCCAUUGGUACUGUGUAUCUUGAAUAUGAGAGAGGUAGGCGGAAUGUUGCAUGUAGCGGUGAAAUGCUUAGAUAUGCUACGGAACACCGAUUGUGAAGGCAGCUUACUAUUUCGUAAUUGACGCUGGGGCACGAAAGCGUGGGUAGCGAACAGGAUUAGAAACCCCGGUAGUCC
RNAcentral lists this ribosomal RNA (446 nucleotides) under uncultured bacterium. Its description in RNAcentral is "partial 16S ribosomal RNA". It matches the Rfam family "Bacterial small subunit ribosomal RNA", at positions 354 to 796 of the family's 1533-position model. The record is from RNAcentral.